AUGGCCUCAUCGCUCAUGUCGAUCCCGGAUCACCUCAAGUCGGAGAUCUUCGUCCGGCUGCCAGAACCAGAAGAUCUCGCCCGCACAGCUGCCACCUGCGUCACCUUCCGCAGAGUCGUAGCCGACGGAUCCUUCCGCCGCCGCUUCCGCCUCCUCCACGCCCCGCCCCUCCUCGGCAUCCUCGACCGCGACGGCUUUCAUCCCGCCCUCCCGCCUCACCCCUCAGCGCCCGCCGCCAGCGCGCUCGCCCACGCCGCCGACUUCUCCCUCUCCUUCCUCCCCUCCCACCGCCGCUGGGCCGUGCAGGACGUCCGCGACGGCCGCGUCCUCCACGCCGCCAACCCUGAACCCCAAGUGUUCACGGAGCUCGUGGUGUGUGACCCUUUGCACAGCCGACACAUCCUUCUUCCCCAAAUACCUCAUGACCUAGCCGCUUCACUGGAGUUUCCAGUCCGCUGCCAGCUUUUAAUAGCUUCCCCCGGAGCAGGCGUGAACGAGGCAGCUGCAGCCAUGGAAGAGGCAGCAAGGGCAUUCAUAGUGGUCAUGAUAGCACAUUGCGAAACUGGUCCGGCUGCCUUCGUCUUCUCUUCGAGCACCCGACAAUGGCGAGCCGCUGCAUCCAAGGGUUGGGAUGAUUUGUUCCCCAACCAGGAAGAGUCAACCAUGAUCUCAUCAAUGCACAGAAAGUUGGUCGGGUGCCAUUACGCUUAUGGCUGCUUUUAUUUGGAGUCCACAAUGAAUAAGAAGUUGCUUGUGUUCGACACCCGGAGGAUGGAGUUCUCCAGCCUCGACGUCCCACGCGAAACAUCGAACAUGUUUGGUCUAGCCAUUGUGGAGGCAGGAGAAGGCAGGCUCGGGAUGUUGGAUAUCCAUGAUGAAACUUUAGGUGGCAAAUGUGAUCUCUGUUAUUACAUUAGAGGAAACAAAGGUGAGAGUUCUAGCCAGUGGAAGAUCGAGAAGACAAUCUCACUACCUUAUGAUUAUCAGUACUAUAUCCAAGCUUCAACUGAGAGGUACUUGCUCCUAAGGAAGCUUGGACCCCUGCAGUCCAUAAGCUCAUCUCUGGAGGUGGAAUAUGUCUCAAUGGACGUCAAGACAUUGCAGCUUGAGAAGGUUUGUGGUGUAUCUUUCGGGUUUAGCUUGGCCAGCGCCCGCAUAUAUACCAGCUUCCCACCAUCCUUGUUGUCUGCACCGACAAUAUGA
This 1203-nucleotide ribosomal RNA is filed under the name Triticum aestivum (bread wheat). RNAcentral's name for it is "partial small subunit ribosomal RNA". The record is from RNAcentral. Lineage: Eukaryota; Viridiplantae; Streptophyta; Magnoliopsida; Poales; Poaceae.